CAGAGACCAUAUGUUGUUUUCAUUUGUGAAAUCUUUCUUGGUCAUAUGUGGCACAGAGGAGGGGCCCAGUAUGUUUUUUAAAAACAGUAAUAGGGAAAAGGAUGUAGCUCAGUGAUAGUGCCUUGCAUGCACAAGGCUCUAGUUUUUAUCUCUAGCACCAGAAAUGAACAAACAAGCGAAAACAAAGUGUGAAGCAUGGUUAUUAGCAUAAUGUGGUAGGAGUAAUCAAAGGUCUUUUUAAACUUCAAAGGGUGCUUGUCCUGUUUGAAAAUAGGCAUAUAUUUAAAAAUAAAGGUUCAUUUUGUAAGUCACAUGGGGGCAGGAAGCAGGAAAGAGACUGGAAUUCAGGUUUAUCUGACUUGAGUUUCUGCCUGAACCACUAGGCAAGAUGCACAAAAUAGACCCUGUUCCUCCUUGAUUGUCUCCAUCUUGCUCCCUGACCUACAAGCUGGAGGAAAUGCCUACUACCUCCUAUGCUAGAGAGAGCUGGAAUUAGAGGGCUGGUGGUUUGGCUGUUAGGAGACAAAUCUGUUUUGAAUUCUCAGAUAUACUCCAUUGAAUCUCAGGGAUGAUGGAAGGGUUUUCCGGAGGGCACUACCUCUCUGUCGUGGCUGGAAUGGAUGGUGAGGUCAACUACUGCCCAGAUAAGGGAGGGAGGAGAAAGGCAGGUUUCAGGGGGAAGAAGUUAUUUGCCAAUCAUGGAAUGUGUUCCAUGUGAGAUGCCCAAGAAUUGUCCCUAGCAGACAUUUGGAUAUGGGUUUGGAAUUCAAGGGAGGUUGAGCCUGAGACAAAGUUUUGGGUUAAGUCAAUUAUGGGUUCUUGAACAGCAUCAAGAACUGUUCAAGACUGUAAGGUGAAGAAAGGGUCUUCGGAAAUACAUCAGAGGGUCAGGAGGAAAGACACUGAGAAGGGGCCAGAAUGCAGGCAACUAGAACGAUAGAGCAAAGAAGUGAUCCUGAAGAGGGUAAGAUCCGGGAGGUGUGUGUGAUGCUGGAGAGUAGGGCAGGAAAGGAAUAGGAUGAAAAAUCCAAAGCUGGAGGAGUCAGGGGGAGAGUGAAAUCCUAUGGGCAUUGCCUUUGUGAAGGCGAAGCAGGCAUGGUACUUGUCCAAGUGAAGAAGCACAGGGAUAGAGAAGGGACUGGAAGCUGGGAGAGGGGUUUGGGGCCUUAAAGAAGUGUCAAGAUUUA
This 1187-nucleotide long non-coding RNA is filed under the name Marmota monax (woodchuck). The record is from RNAcentral. Lineage: Eukaryota; Metazoa; Chordata; Mammalia; Rodentia; Sciuridae.